This 369-nucleotide ribosomal RNA is filed under the name uncultured bacterium. RNAcentral describes it as "bacterial SSU rRNA". It matches the Rfam family "Bacterial small subunit ribosomal RNA", at positions 527 to 896 of the family's 1533-position model. RNAcentral also lists the same sequence under 1 other name. The record is from RNAcentral.
GUAGGGUGCAAGCGUUAAUCGGAAUUACUGGGCGUAAAGCGUGCGCAGGCGGUUAUAUAAGACAGAUGUGAAAUCCCCGGGCUCAACCUGGGAACUGCAUUUGUGACUGUAUAGCUAGAGUACGGUAGAGGGGGAUGGAAUUCCGCGUGUAGCAGUGAAAUGCGUAGAUAUGCGGAGGAACACCGAUGGCGAAGGCAAUCCCCUGGACCUGUACUGACGCUCAUGCACGAAAGCGUGGGGAGCAAACAGGAUUAGAUACCCUGGUAGUCCACGCCCUAAACGAUGUCAACUGGUUGUUGGGUCUUCACUGACUCAGUAACGAAGCUAACGCGUGAAGUUGACCGCCUGGGGAGUACGGCCGCAAGGUUG